This 481-nucleotide ribosomal RNA is filed under the name uncultured bacterium. Its description in RNAcentral is "partial 16S ribosomal RNA". It matches the Rfam family "Bacterial small subunit ribosomal RNA", at positions 28 to 523 of the family's 1533-position model. The record is from RNAcentral.
GACGAACGCUGGCGGCGUGCUUAACACAUGCAAGUCGAACGCUGAAGCCCUUCGGGGUGGAUGAGUGGCGAACGGGUGAGUAACACGUGGGUAAUCUGCCCUGCACUCUGGGAUAAGCCUUGGAAACGGGGUCUAAUACCGGAUAGGACACAUCGCCGCAUGGUGUGUGUGUGGAAAGUUCCGGCGGUGCAGGUUGAGCCCGCGGCCUAUCAGCUUGUUGGGGGGGUGAUGGCCUACCAAGGCGACGACGGGUAGCCGGCCUGAGAGGGUGACCGGACACACUGGGACUGAGACACGGCCUAGACUCCUACGGGAGGCAGCAGUGGGGAAUCUUGCGCAAUGGGCGAAAGCCUGACGCAGCAACGCCGCGUGGGGGAUGACGGCCUUCGGGUUGUAAACCUCUUUCGACCGGGACGAAGGAUUCGUUUGACGGUACCGGUAGAAGAAGCACCGGCUAACUACGUGCCAGCAGCCGCCGUAA